UGUAUGUAAACUAUGUCCGGGUCCAUCAUCCGACCCAUCAUUGGUUAGGUUAUCAGAAGACCUUGUAACCUAUCGCUUGUACGUAGUACAAUCUCUGGUUACAAUGCUUCGCAUAAUCCUGUCAAACUGAACCGUAGGGACAAGUUAGGACAUUGUAACUAACCAUUACACUUUAACAACAUAAAAACAAACACACAAGCUAUCCCUUCGGCAAGCACGACUCACAUCUCUAUUGCGUCAAUUUCGAAAUACGCAAACAAAAGCUUAAAAUUUUAUAAAAGGGACUUCUUCAUUUUGAAUCGUCCUCAUUUGCCGCUACCGACUAGAAUCCGUUACACAUAUUCUAGUCUCACCUGUAAAAGUCUUGUAAUUUAUAGUGCAGUGAAAUUGUUAUGUUAGUGUUGAAUGUUAACAGCAUUCCAGUAGCCGCGAAAUGUGUCAGGGAGUUGGUCCCAACAAUUCACCAUCCAAACUAAACGCAAAGGACCGCGCUCAACGUCAAAAGAGGUCGUUUGGUUGGUGGUGCAUGGAGUGUCACAAAUAGUGAACCUCCAAGUUGGCAAAGCGCGCCAACCCGAGAAUUCUGUAGAGCGCAAUGGCGGAGGCCAUCCGGUUUUUUCUGACAAAGACAAAGACACAAAACCAAAGAAACCAAAACCGUUGCUGCGCCAGGCCUGGCCGGAGGAAGAUCCUCCGACUUGACUCGACCACCGCGGGAUACACUAGAACACACGAACACACACACACAUGGUUAUCCCAAGCAACACACUUUG
Long non-coding RNA from Culex quinquefasciatus (southern house mosquito), 773 nucleotides. RefSeq lists it as uncharacterized. The transcript has 4 exons. The record is from RefSeq and is a predicted model, not a curated record. Lineage: Eukaryota; Metazoa; Arthropoda; Insecta; Diptera; Culicidae.